RNAcentral lists this ribosomal RNA (515 nucleotides) under uncultured bacterium. RNAcentral describes it as "partial 16S ribosomal RNA". It matches the Rfam family "Bacterial small subunit ribosomal RNA", at positions 28 to 523 of the family's 1533-position model. The record is from RNAcentral.
GAUGAACGCUGGCGGCAUGCCUAAUACAUGCAAGUCGAGCGAAUGGAUUAAGAGCUUGCUCUUAUGAAGUUAGCGGCGGACGGGCGAGUAACACGUGGGUAACCUGCCCAUAAGACUGGGAUAACUCCGGGAAACCGGGGCUAAUACCGGAUAACAUUUUGAACCGCAUGGUUCGAAAUUGAAAGGCGGCUUCGGCUGUCACUUAUGGAUGGACCCGCGUCGCAUUAGCUAGUUGGUGAGGUAACGGCUCACCAAGGCAACGAUGCGUAGCCGACCUGAGAGGGUGAUCGGCCACACUGGGACUGAGACACGGCCCAGACUCCUACGGGAGGCAGCAGUAGGGAAUCUUCCGCAGUGGACGAAAGUCUGACGGAGCAACGCCGCGUGAGUGAUGAAGGCUUUCGGGUCGUAAAACUCUGUUGUUAGGGAAGAACAAGUGCUAGUUGAAUAAGCUGGCACCUUGACGGUACCUAACCAGAAAGCCACGGCUAACUACGUGCCAGCCGCCGCCGUAA